Molecule: ribosomal RNA, 253 nt
Filed under: uncultured bacterium
Lineage: Bacteria
Description: partial 16S ribosomal RNA
Rfam family: Bacterial small subunit ribosomal RNA
Source: RNAcentral
UACGUAGGGGGCAAGCGUUAUCCGGAAUUACUGGGUUUAAAGGGUGCGUAGGCGGCUUAGUAAGUCAGGGGUGAAAGGUCACGGCUCAACCGUGGAAUUGCCUUUGAUACUGUUGAGCUUGAAUCAGGAUGAGGUUGGCAGAAUGUGGCAUGUAGCGGUGAAAUGCAUAGAUAUGCCAUAGAACACCGAUUGCGAAGGCAGCUGGCUAGACCUUGAUUGACGCUGAGGCACGAAAGCGUGGGGAGCGAACAGG